CCUUGAACUUGUCAGGGUUGAUCCGUCCGUCCCUUCUCUUGUCUACUGUCUCGAAGUUUGUCAACGAUGUCUAAUUUGCCGUAUGUCCUCCGUCACGCGCCGUCAGCUCUCAGGCGGUUGUCGCGCGGCAGAAGCUCACAAAAGUGCAUCAGGUCGUGUUUUAACUUCAGGUGUUUCCAUCGUGGCUCGUCGGUUCAGUUGUCACCGAGUGUUAGACAUGAAAACAAACCCAGCUCCAGAGGUUAUACCAGGUCCACCCAGACGACACCGGUCCGGAUUGGCUGUGCCUCUGGCUUCUGGGGGGACACGGCCACCUCAGUGCCCCAGCUGAUCUACAGCGGGAAGCUCGACUUCCUGGUGUUUGACUACCUCAGUGAGAUCACCAUGUCCCUGCUCACCGCCGCCAAGGCCAAAAUGCCCACUCUGGGUUACGCUCCAGACUUCGUCCAGAUCGCUCUCGCUCCGUUUAUUAACGACAUCCACAGGAAAGGUAUUCGUGUUGUCAGUAAUGCAGGAGGUGUGAACCCUCUGGCCUGUGCUGAGGCCAUCCAGGAAGUCAUCAAAAAGGCAGGCCUGGACCUCAAGGUUGCUGUGGUGACCGGUGAUGACCUCAUGCCUCAUAGGACCAGCCUGUCUGAAGUAAAGAUGGUGGAUGACGGCAGCAGACAGCAGUUACCCAGAACGCUGCACAGUUUGAACGCUUACCUCGGGGCUCUUCCCAUCCGCCGCUGUCUGGAUCUCGGGGCUGACGUCGUGGUAACUGGACGCUGUGUGGACAGCGCCGUGGCUCUGGGGCCGCUCAUGCACAGCUUUGGAUGGGAGAGGACAGACUAUGACCUGCUGGCAGCUGGGAGUCUUGCAGGUCACCUGAUCGAGUGUGGAGCUCAGAGCACUGGUGGAAUCUUCACCGACUGGCACAAAGUCCCUGACUGGGACAACAUGGGUUUCCCGGUGGUCGAAUGUUCCAGCGACGGCUCCUUCGUUCUCUCCAAACCGGCCAAAACCGGCGGCCUCGUCUCCUUCGGCACUGUGGCGGAGCAGCUGGUGUACGAGAUCGGCGACCCGCAGCGAUACCUGCUGCCUGACGUCAUCUGUGACUUCAGCCAGGUGAUCAUCAAGGAAGUACCAGGUGUAGAAGGAGGUGCCGUCAGAGUGACGGGGGCUAAAGGCCGUGCUCCAUCACAUGACUACAAGGUGUGUGCGACCUACAUGGACGGCUUCAGGGCGACGGCAGUGUGUCCAGUCGGAGGGCCGAGAGCGGCAGAAAAGGCCAGACGGACCGCGGACAGCAUCGUCAAACGGACGAAGCGUAUGUUCAGUCAGUUAGGACUGGAAGAUUUCAGCUCCGUCAACGUCCAGGUCCUCGGAGCCGAGGACACGUACGGCGCCAACGCUCGCUGCAGGGACUCCAGAGAGGCGGUGAUCUGGAUGGCCGUCCACCACAAACAGAAGAAAGCUCUCGAGCUCUUCUCCAGAGAAAUCGCUCCCGCAGGGACCGGCAUGGCUCCUGGUUUGACCGGCAUCGUGGGCGGACGACCCAGAGUGUCUCCUGUUCUGAAGCCGUUUUUCUUCCUCUACCCCAAAUCUGAGCUGAAGGUGGACGUUCAUGUCGGUGGAGAGGUUGUGGAGUCUUUUGCAGAGGCGGGACCAGACGCACCUGAGCAGGAAGCCCCUCCCACCUCAGCUGAGGACAUACCUGACACAGAGCUGCCCAGCGGACCCCACAGCUACAGACUGGAGGAGCUGGCCUACACGAGGAGCGGCGACAAAGGAGACUCCGCCAACAUCGGAGUGAUAGCUCGCCACCCCCUCUUCUUCCCCUACCUGAAAAAACACCUGACUUCCUCUGUGGUGGAGGAAUACUUCUCCCACCUCAUCCAGCCGGGGCUGAGCAAUGCUGUGACACGAUACACUCUGCCGGGGAUCCACAGCCUCAACUUUGUCCUGCAGAGAUCACUGGGAGGGGGAGGGGUGGCGUCUCUACGCAGCGACCCCCAGGGUAAAGCCUUCGGUCAGAUGCUGCUGGACCUGAAGCUAAGAGGACUGCCUGACCUCAAAUCACUGGUGGACUGAAAGAGAGAGAGAGUGAGUGAGAGACGGCGGGAGACAGAAGAGGUUAAUGUGGGAAACGGAGACGUGAAAACACUGAACAACAAGAAAUGAAAGGGACGAAAACGACCGUUGACAGCUCAACAGAAGCAGAAGGAUCAUGAAAAAGACCUUUAGACCUUUAUUCAUACUGCCCACAAUCACAGAUGAUCCUCACGGAUCUGAUCUGUACAACGUGAGAUUUAGCUCACAUCUGUCCAAUAGGACACCACCUUGAAGUGUUUUAAUGAGCUUCACCAGGAGGCACCACAACAGCUUCAACACUCAUUGGCCUCAACUGUCUGCGGUCGCCGCAGCCUUCACUACGAGUGUCCCGCUUCUUUGGAAUCAGGGUUUUGUAAUAAAACCCAAGAUUGAAAAAUAAAAACACAGAAACACGUAACAUGGGAAUGUGGAGGACUCACAUCUUAAUGGUGACGAUGAGGUCUGAGACACAUCUGUCCUGCAUAUUGCUGCUCCGCAAACUCCGACCCUACUUAUUCGGAGAAACGCUUCAUCGUUGUGGAAUGUUUUUCAGCUAAUUCUCCAUUCAACCCCAAACACUGAUUGAUGUUUACCAAAAGCGCUUCAUGUGGCCCUGAGUGUGUAGAAAAGGAUUUCCAAGCAAUUGCUGCUCAUUUGCUGAGCAUGUUCAGUCAUUUUGGAUGCUCUCUUUUGUCAGGGAAUAUUUGGGCCUAAACACGAGUUUUCAGAAUCAGCGUUGAUAGUUGUGGCCGAGUUCACGUCCGUCUCCUGAUUGUCAUCGUGUUUCACAUUUCUUUCUUUGAAGUGGUUCAAGGGGCCAGUGUGCCACUAGAACCAACAUUAACAUGGAAAUUAUGCAAGACGUGGUCUAGACUUAUGGUUUGCUUCUGAGAUAACUUUAGACUGAUUUAUAUAUCUGAUAUAUCAAAUGUUUCAUCAUGUGGUGUCAAAAUGACUUUUUGUCCAGUUUUUGCAAUGAUGGAGGUUCUUUACUGACAUCUUUCUCUAAAAUUACAACUAACAUUUUCUUCUUUAAUACUUCUUUAUAUAAUUUCUCAUACAUACAAAAGUAUUUCAAUCAGAGAAUUUAAAAAUCAGAAAAAUACCGUAAAAUUUACAGUCACAUCCCUCAAAUCUGCCCCCACCCAUGAGUUUUUGUAAAGCACUGAUGAUCAUGAAUCACAGGUUUAUUUCCAGUCAGUCUGGCGGUUGUUGAGGUUUUGCAUCCGGAAUGAAAUGUUUCUCAUCUGGCAAAAAGCAAAGGUCCAAGCAUUGAGCCUUGUGGAACACCACAGAAUCGUAUUAUUUAGUUAGUAAUUAUUUACUUAGUUUUAAAUCAUAAAAACUCUGCGAUUUCAAUCCACGGAAGGACUUUGUUCUGCUUUGUCUUUUGUCAAGACCAUGAAUCUGUGCCAAAUUCCCGGACCUAACAUGUAACAGCCAGACUCGAUCUCACUGUUUCUGUUUCUGUCUGUUGACGUCGACUCGCUUAUCCUGGAACCACACAAGACUUUUUCUGUUUUCAGGAUCAGAGAGCUGGUUUAAUUAGCGAUCUUAGAUGACUCUGAAUGUAAUUCAUAUACGACUUACUCACUUCUGCCUUCUCGUAGAAUUUUUUAAUAUAAAUUCUAGAAGCUGAUUUCUAAAUGCAGUUGAUUUCUGUGUGAUCAUGUAGAUACGAAACUGAAGAUUAAACAUAUUUUU
RNA transcript from Chelmon rostratus (copperband butterflyfish), 3777 nucleotides. It is a transcript of the gene named lecithin retinol acyltransferase b, tandem duplicate 1, with no coding region annotated. The record is from RefSeq and is a predicted model, not a curated record. NCBI's taxonomy places the organism in Eukaryota, Metazoa, Chordata, Actinopteri, Chaetodontiformes, Chaetodontidae. The transcript has 21 exons.